This 324-nucleotide ribosomal RNA is filed under the name uncultured eukaryote. RNAcentral describes it as "partial 18S ribosomal RNA". It matches the Rfam family "Eukaryotic small subunit ribosomal RNA", at positions 1470 to 1796 of the family's 1831-position model. The record is from RNAcentral.
CCCUUAGAUGUCCUGGGCUGCACGCGCGCUACACUGAUGUGUCCAGUAAGCACCUAACCUCUUCCGAAAGGAACGGGUAACCUUUGCAAAGCACAUCGUGAUGGGGAUAGAUUAUUGCAAUUAUUAGUCUUGAACGAGGAAUUCCUAGUAAGCACAAGUCAUCAGCUUGUGUUGAUUACGUCCCUGCCCUUUGUACACACCGCCCGUCGCUCCUACCGAUUGAAUGUUCCGGUGAGCUCUUCGAACUGCGCGGUCUGCAGUUUCUGCGUUCCGUGCGGAAAGUUGCGCAAACCUUAACAUUUAGAGGAAGGAGAAGUCGUAACA